This 859-nucleotide long non-coding RNA is filed under the name Anser brachyrhynchus (Pink-footed goose). RNAcentral describes it as "lncRNA (ENSABRG00000015159.1)". Lineage: Eukaryota; Metazoa; Chordata; Aves; Anseriformes; Anatidae. The record is from RNAcentral.
GAUUUUCUCUCUUUUUGAUUAUAAAGUGAUGUCUGCCACUUUCCUUACCUGUGGAGGCUCCUUUGACAAAGAAAGCCUUUAACAUGAGGAUGGGAAGAAGAACUUACAUAAAUGGCUCCUCAUUUAAACUGAACAGAGUAUGAAGUCAAGAAUAUCAGUGUUUCUUCUGCCAGUAGUAUUAGGUGUGAAGAUGGCCAGGAUGAAUCUGGGGACUAUCCUUCAAGAGCCUGUGGAAUAUGUGGAACUGUGGAACAGCUCUGGGCUGUUCCUCUCCUUGACAGCAUUGCUCCCGCACAGGGGUCACAGCCUUCAUUUUGCAGGUGCAUAUGGACACAGGAAGCAUUACCUCAUCGCUCCGGUUUGGCAUUGGAUGGGCAGAAGCAGAGGAGGAGCUGGGAAAACUGACAUCCUAGACAGACAAAAAAAGUUGGACUGGGUAAAAAAAGUUGGAUUCUGCCAGCUUCUUGCUGUGGUCUGUUAACAGCUGCCUAGGCACAGGACUCUUCUCCUGCAAGUCCUCUGCAGAUACAGAACCAAUGGUUCUGUGUGCUAAAUGCCUGGAGCAGUUAUUUUCAUACUUUGUCCAUGUCUAUGUUCAAUUAAACCUGCAUCUCGUUAUACUGCUACCUACUGUGUUCUUUUCACAUAUUGGCCAAAAUCUGCUCUUCAAAUCUCCUGAUUAAGGAAGUUUGCAUGAAAACAACUGGUGAAUGCAGUUCUUCCCUUUUUGGACUGAGGUCAGGGCUCAGGAGGUAUUUCUGCUGCGCCUUGAAACCCUAGUGCACGCUCCCGGAUUGAUAAUAAGUAUGCUGAACACCACCAGACCAAGUUCAUCUGCUGCCGAGGAGAGGAGCUGCAC